This 240-nucleotide ribosomal RNA is filed under the name uncultured bacterium. RNAcentral's name for it is "partial 16S ribosomal RNA". It matches the Rfam family "Bacterial small subunit ribosomal RNA", at positions 96 to 334 of the family's 1533-position model. The record is from RNAcentral.
UGGCGAACGGGUGAGUAACGCGUGAGGAACCUGCCUCAAAGGGGGGGACAACAGUUGGAAACGACUGCUAAUACCGCAUAAGCCCACGACCCGGCAUCGGGAAGAGGGAAAAGGAGCAAUCCGCUUUGAGAUGGCCUCGCGUCCGAUUAGCUAGUUGGUGAGGUAACGGCCCACCAAGGCGACGAUCGGUAGCCGGACUGAGAGGUUGAACGGCCACAUUGGGACUGAGACACGGCCCAG